CCCAGGAAUCAGUCUGGUUGCACUUUGUUGCAUUUCCUCCAUUGCCAAAACGUCCUUCCUCAGAGAAGAAGAUACAAACUGCGCACAGCUGCAUUGCAGGUUUGCAAGAUUGUCUGGCCCUGAUAGCAAACCUGUGUGAAAUUAUGAUGGUUAGAAAUAAAACAGACUGAAGACAACGGAAAAAGCAACAUCAAGCUUAUGGCCAAGACUGCCUCAACAAGAGCAUCUUGAUUGGAAUAAACUAUGCUAAGUUUGCAAGAAGGAUCUGGAGGGCUAAUGUCAAAGAUUAGACUCACAAAGAUUUAUGGAAUGUCCUGGCUGAUGGGAGAUACAUGGAACCGAGUAGUUUCUGUAGAAACAAGGAAGAAAAAUAUGGU
Long non-coding RNA from Stegostoma tigrinum, 377 nucleotides. RefSeq lists it as uncharacterized. NCBI's taxonomy places the organism in Eukaryota, Metazoa, Chordata, Chondrichthyes, Orectolobiformes, Stegostomatidae. The transcript is spliced from 3 exons. The record is from RefSeq and is a predicted model, not a curated record.